Molecule: ribosomal RNA, 253 nt
Filed under: uncultured bacterium
Lineage: Bacteria
Description: partial 16S ribosomal RNA
Rfam family: Bacterial small subunit ribosomal RNA
Source: RNAcentral
UACGUAGGUGGCAAGCGUUGUCCGGAUUUACUGGGCGUAAAGAGCGCGCAGGCGGUCGUGUAAGUCGCAUGUGAAAGCCCCCGGCUCAACUGGGGAGGGUCAUUCGAUACUGCUCGACUCGAAGGCAGGAGAGGGAAGUGGAAUUCCGGGUGUAGUGGUGAAAUGCGUAGAUAUCCGGAGGAACACCAGUGGCGAAGGCGACUUUCUGGCCUGUUCUUGACGCUGAGGCGCGAAAGCUAGGGGAGCAAACGGG